Molecule: ribosomal RNA, 442 nt
Filed under: uncultured bacterium
Lineage: Bacteria
Description: partial 16S ribosomal RNA
Rfam family: Bacterial small subunit ribosomal RNA
Source: RNAcentral
CCUACGGGAGGCAGCAGUGGGGAAUAUUGGGCAAUGGGCGCAAGCCUGACCCAGCAAUGCCGCGUGAAGGAAGACGGCUUUCGGGUUGUAAACCUCUUUGUCUGGGGAAGUGAAGUAGACGGUACCCUGUAAACAAGCCAUGGCGCACUACGUGCCAGCAGCCGAUGUAAUACGGAGGGGGCGAGCGUUGUCCGGAUUUACUGGGUGUAAAGGGUGUGUAGCCGGGAAGGUAAGUGAGAUGUGAAAUGUGGAGGCUCAACCUCCGAAUUGCGUUUGAAACUGUUUUUCUUGAGUGCUGGGAAGGCAGACGGAAUUCCUUGUGUAGCGGUGAAAUGCGUAGAUAUAAGGAAGAACACCAGUGGCGAAGGCGGUCUGCUGGACAGCUACUGACGGUGAGGCGCGAAAGCGUGGGGAGCAAACAGGAUUAGAUACCCGUGUAGUC